Molecule: ribosomal RNA, 255 nt
Filed under: uncultured bacterium
Lineage: Bacteria
Description: partial 16S ribosomal RNA
Rfam family: Bacterial small subunit ribosomal RNA
Source: RNAcentral
GAGUUUGAUCUGGCUCAGGAUGAACGCUGGCGGCGUGCUUAACACAUGCAAGUCGAACGAAGCAUUUAAGACAGAUUACUUCGGUUUGAAGUCUUUUAUGACUGAGUGGCGGACGGGUGAGUAACGCGUGGGUAACCUGCCUCAUACAGGGGGAUAGCAGCUGGAAACGGCUGGUAAUACCGCAUAAGCGCACAGUACCACAUGGUACAGUGUGAAAAACUCCGGUGGUAUGAGAUGGACCCGCGUCUGAUUAGC